RNAcentral lists this long non-coding RNA (1240 nucleotides) under Bemisia tabaci. Its description in RNAcentral is "lncRNA ENSASIAIIG010197". The record is from RNAcentral. Lineage: Eukaryota; Metazoa; Arthropoda; Insecta; Hemiptera; Aleyrodidae.
AACAUUUCCGUCUCCUCUAUGCUUGCAAUUCAAGACUCACUCAAUUUUCUUUCAGAUUCAGGAAGAAGCAAAAGAUUUAUUGAUUCAAAUCUUAUCAUGCCGUUUACUGGUUCCAAAAUAUUCUUUCAAAACAGUUCUAUCUGCCAUUGGGCCUGUGCUACCUCUUUUGGAAUGUCUUGCAGAAAAAAACACGGAACUUGGCCGCUGUGUUCUUGGCGUGUUGAACCCAGAUUCUUCUCCUCUCUCGCAAUUACAGUUACUCACUGGAAAUUUACGGCUCAUGUUUCGGAAUGAUAGCAUUGUUCGUGAAGAGGGAAUUGCGCGAGUCAUGUGGCUGAUGCGCACAACAACUGUAGUCAAACAAGCCUCGGGAAUAUUCAUUGUUGAAAAACCUGCUCACCAGCGACAGAUCUUAACUGGAGUUUAUGAGGUAGGAAGUAUGAUUCGGGUUCUUGAGCUACUAACAGUGCCUUGUGUCGAAGAUAGGCUUCGGCGCUCUGCCUUGAUUCAGUUGAGUGUUAUGACGGAAGACUGGCGACUUCAUGAUAUAUUUCUGGAACAAAAUGGAUUGAAAGCUGUCAUAGACGUUCUUAAAAAUGAGAUUGAGGAACCACGGACCGACUCAGGAAGGGACAUGAUUUUGUCAACAAUCUGUGUUCUGAAGAAUAUAGUGAGACAUAAUACACAUUUACGCUUGGAGCUAUCAACUGAUUUUGAGGUUUAUAAAGCAGCAUUUUUAGGUUUGUUCAAAUAUCACGAUGAGCUGAGGCUGAAGAGGGAUGCCACCGAGCUGUUUGCCUUUUUACUCUUUGCAGAGCAAAUUUUAACACCAACAAUUGCCUGUAUCUCUGUGGUUGACCUAGUCAAACGAUCUGUUAUUUUACCCUUUGAGCUCAAUUCUCACGCUAAAUCAAGUCCUCAUUCUGAACCUCAGUUAACUGGACUCUUGUGAUGAAAACUGUAAAAAGUGCCUGGGUAUUCACUGGCAUAUUGUCAGUUCUAGUGGUGGAAACAUCAACAGUCUCAUCGAGAAUUAUGAUGAUGUCAACAGUGACAGAUUAGUAGUUUCUGAAAAGACCAUGUUUCAACUGCAGUCAGCAUCGCUGCCGUUCAGCAUCACUCAGUUACUCUACGCUAUUCAGAACGCAACUCAUCAUACCACUGUCAUCGAAACUUCGGAUGUCAUUGCCAGGUAUUCUUAUUAUCCAAUUAAUCAACAUUUUACAAACCAGACCAUUUG